This 275-nucleotide ribosomal RNA is filed under the name uncultured prokaryote. RNAcentral describes it as "partial 16S ribosomal RNA". It matches the Rfam family "Bacterial small subunit ribosomal RNA", at positions 524 to 798 of the family's 1533-position model. The record is from RNAcentral.
CACGGGGGUUGCGAGCGUUGUCCGGAAUUACUAGGCGUAAAGGGCAGGCAGGCGGAUCCAUAAGUUUAUCGUUUAAGGCGUCGGCUUAAUCGGAGUAGGGCGGUAGAUACUGUGGAUCUGGAAUGCGGUUGGGGAAGACAGAAUUCCUGGUGUAGCGGUGGAAUGCGCAGAGAUCAGGAGGAAUACCGAAGGCGAAGGCAGUCUUCCAAGCCGUUAUUGACGCUCAACUGCGAAGGUGUGGGUAUCAAACAGGAUUAGAUACCCUGGUAGUCCCU